CGGGGCGUGGCGCAGUCCGGCUAGCGCGCUUGCAUGGGGUGUAAGAGGCCCUGGGUUCGAAUCCCAGCGCCCCGACCA
This 78-nucleotide transfer RNA is filed under the name Candidatus Brevefilum sp. RNAcentral describes it as "tRNA-Pro". It matches the Rfam family "tRNA". From Rfam's summary of the family: Transfer RNA (tRNA) molecules are approximately 80 nucleotides in length. Their secondary structure includes four short double-helical elements and three loops (D, anti-codon, and T loops). Lineage: Bacteria; Bacillati; Chloroflexota; Anaerolineae; Anaerolineales; Anaerolineaceae. The record is from RNAcentral. RNAcentral also lists the same sequence under 2 other names.